ACGCUCGACACCUACGGAGGCAGCAGUGGGGAAUAUUGCACAAUGGGGGAAACCCUGAUGCAGCGACGCCGCGUGAGUGAAGAAGUAUUUCGGUAUGUAAAGCUCUAUCAGCAGGGAAGAAGAUGACGGUACCUGAGUAAGAAGCCCCGGCUAACUACGUGUCAGCAGCCGCGGUAAUCUGAGCGGGCUGGCAAGGC
RNAcentral lists this ribosomal RNA (197 nucleotides) under uncultured bacterium. RNAcentral describes it as "partial 16S ribosomal RNA". It matches the Rfam family "Bacterial small subunit ribosomal RNA", at positions 328 to 539 of the family's 1533-position model. The record is from RNAcentral.